RNAcentral lists this transfer RNA (71 nucleotides) under Chloroflexota bacterium. RNAcentral describes it as "Chloroflexi bacterium tRNA-Cys". It matches the Rfam family "tRNA". Rfam says of the family: Transfer RNA (tRNA) molecules are approximately 80 nucleotides in length. Lineage: Bacteria; Bacillati; Chloroflexota. The record is from RNAcentral.
GGCGAUGUGACCGAGUGGCUAGGUAGCGGUCUGCAAAACCGCUUACACCGGUUCGAAUCCGGUCGUCGCCU